RNAcentral lists this non-coding RNA (20 nucleotides) under Arabidopsis thaliana (thale cress). Lineage: Eukaryota; Viridiplantae; Streptophyta; Magnoliopsida; Brassicales; Brassicaceae. The record is from RNAcentral.
UGGUGAUACUCGACCUGUUG